Molecule: ribosomal RNA, 301 nt
Filed under: uncultured microorganism
Description: bacterial SSU rRNA
Rfam family: Bacterial small subunit ribosomal RNA
Source: RNAcentral
GUGCACCAGGCGAGAAUCUUCCACAAUGGACGAAAGUCUGAUGGAGCGACGCCGCGUGCGGGAUGAAGGCCUUAUGGGUUGUAAACCGCUGUCAGGGGGAAGAACAUCGGAAUGAACAAUACUCAUUCCGACUGACGUUACCCCCAGAGGAAGCUCCGGCCAACUCCGUGCCAGCAGCCGCGGUAAUACGGGGGAGCAAGCGUUGUCCGGAAUUAUUGGGCGUAAAGGGCGUGUAGGCGGCGAGGUAAGUCGAAUGUGAAAUCUCACGGGCUCAACCGUGAAACUGCGUUCGAAACUACCC